This 253-nucleotide ribosomal RNA is filed under the name uncultured bacterium. Its description in RNAcentral is "partial 16S ribosomal RNA". It matches the Rfam family "Bacterial small subunit ribosomal RNA", at positions 524 to 776 of the family's 1533-position model. The record is from RNAcentral.
UACGUAGGGACCAAGCGUUGUUCGGAUUUACUGGGCGUAAAGGGCGCGUAGGCGGCUUCGCAAGUCCGGGGUGAAAGCCUCCAGCUCAACUGGAGAAGUGCCUUGGAUACUGCGGGGCUCGAGGGAGGUAGGGGUGCGUGGAACUUCCGGUGGAGCGGUGAAAUGCGUUGAUAUCGGAAGGAACGCCGGUGGCGAAAGCGACGCACUGGACCUCUUCUGACGCUGAGGCGCGAAAGCCAGGGGAGCAAACGGG